AAGACAUUAGUAAAGCAAUUACACUACUUUGUCAAGGCAGUAUCGUGGGUUAAACCCCCGCAUGUCUUA
Molecule: transfer RNA, 69 nt
Filed under: Regalecus glesne (king of herrings)
Lineage: Eukaryota; Metazoa; Chordata; Actinopteri; Lampriformes; Regalecidae
Description: tRNA-Asp
Rfam family: tRNA
About the family: Transfer RNA (tRNA) molecules are approximately 80 nucleotides in length. Their secondary structure includes four short double-helical elements and three loops (D, anti-codon, and T loops). Further hydrogen bonds mediate the characteristic L-shaped molecular structure. tRNAs have two regions of fundamental functional importance: the anti-codon, which is responsible for specific mRNA codon recognition, and the 3' end, to which the tRNAs corresponding amino acid is attached (by aminoacyl-tRNA synthetases). tRNAs cope with the degeneracy of the genetic code in two manners: having more than one tRNA (with a specific anti-codon) for a particular amino acid; and 'wobble' base-pairing, i.e. permitting non-standard base-pairing at the 3rd anti-codon position.
Source: RNAcentral